GCGCCCGUAGCUCAAUUGGAUAGAGCACCUGACUACGGAUCAGGAGGUUAGGAGUUCGAAUCUUCUCGGGCGCACCA
RNAcentral lists this transfer RNA (77 nucleotides) under Alphaproteobacteria bacterium. RNAcentral describes it as "tRNA-Arg". It matches the Rfam family "tRNA". Rfam says of the family: Transfer RNA (tRNA) molecules are approximately 80 nucleotides in length. Their secondary structure includes four short double-helical elements and three loops (D, anti-codon, and T loops). Lineage: Bacteria; Pseudomonadati; Pseudomonadota; Alphaproteobacteria. The record is from RNAcentral.